Molecule: ribosomal RNA, 492 nt
Filed under: uncultured bacterium
Lineage: Bacteria
Description: partial 16S ribosomal RNA
Rfam family: Bacterial small subunit ribosomal RNA
Source: RNAcentral
AGUGAACGCUGGCGGUAGGCCUAACACAUGCAAGUCGAACGGCAGCACAGUAAGAGCUUGCUCUUACGGGUGGCGAGUGGCGGACGGGUGAGGAAUACAUCGGAAUCUACUUUUUCGUGGGGGAUAACGUAGGGAAACUUACGCUAAUACCGCAUACGACCUACGGGUGAAAGCAGGGGAUCUUCGGACCUUGCGCGAUUGAAUGACCCGAUUUCGGAUUAGCUAGUUGGCGGGGUAAAGGCCCACCAAGGCGACGAUCCGUAGCUGGUCUGAGAGGAUGAUCAGCCACACUGGAACUGAGACACGGUCCAGACUCCUACGGGAGGCAGCAGUGGGGAAUAUUGGACAAUGGGCGCAAGCCUGAUCCAGCCAUACCGCGUGGGUGAAGAAGGCCUUCGGGUUGUAAAGCCCUUUUGUUGGGAAAGAAAAGCAGCAGGUUAAUACCCCGCUGUUCUGACGGUACCCAAAGAAUAAGCACCGGCUAACUUCGUG